Molecule: ribosomal RNA, 574 nt
Filed under: uncultured fungus
Lineage: Eukaryota; Fungi
Description: eukaryotic LSU rRNA
Rfam family: 5.8S ribosomal RNA (bases 207-360)
Source: RNAcentral
AGUCGUAACAAUGUCUCCGAUGGAGAACCAGCGGAGGGAUCAUUAUCAGAGUUACAAAACUCACUAAACCCACUGUAAAUGUACCUAUUUGGCCGCUCCGGCAGGCGGUCCCAGGGCGGGACCACAGCCUCUCCAGGCGCCUGCCGAAAGUGGCGCAACUUUUGCUCUUUACCUAUAUUUCUGAGUCUCUAGACAAAAAUUAUCAAAAUUUUCAAUUGUGGAUCUCUUGGUUCUGGCAUCGAUGAAGAACGCAGCGAAAUGCGAUAAGUAAUGUGAAUUGCAGAAUUCAGCGAAUCAUCGAAUCUUUGAACGCACAUUGCGCCCAUUAGUAUUCUAGUGGGCAUGCCUGUUCGAGCGUCAUUUCAACCCUCGGGCCUGUAUGGGUCUGGCGUUGGGGCCUUUGCCGCCUGGCAAGCUCCGAAAGCAAGUGGCGGACCUGCUGAGACCCCGAGCGUAGUAGUUUACACCUCGCUUAGGGGCAUCUAGCGGGCAGCACCAGCCGUAAAAGCAAAAGACACCUCAAAGUAGUCUUCAGGUUGACCUCGGAUCAGGUAGGAAUACCCGCUGAACUUAA